Molecule: small nucleolar RNA, 94 nt
Organism: Cucurbita pepo subsp. pepo (vegetable marrow)
Lineage: Eukaryota; Viridiplantae; Streptophyta; Magnoliopsida; Cucurbitales; Cucurbitaceae
Source: RefSeq, a predicted model, not a curated record
GUCUAGCGGUGAGGAUUUUACUUCAGCUUCUAACGCCAGUUCUGCUUCAGAAUUUGAUGAUCGAUAAAGCUGUUACAAAUAAUCUGAGCUUUAG